Molecule: long non-coding RNA, 11725 nt
Filed under: Citrus x clementina
Lineage: Eukaryota; Viridiplantae; Streptophyta; Magnoliopsida; Sapindales; Rutaceae
Description: Citrus clementina (C. clementina) long non-coding RNA (CCLE_LNC004800)
Source: RNAcentral
CUGGGGGGUGUUGGCACCCCGACCUUCGGGGGCUGAUUUUUGGGCGCGGCUGUGCCCGUGGCCUAUUUUUGGCACACGGAGGCCGCCCGCAACGUCUGGGGCCAUUCCGAGUGCGGCGGACGAACUUCGCCCACGCCCCCCACCAAGGCUAUAGCCCACCCGUUUUUUGGCCAUUUUUCCGCUGGGGGGUCUUGGCACCCCGACCUUCGGGGGCUGAUUUUUGGGCGCGGCUCUGCCCGUGGCCUAUUUUUGGCACACGGAAGCCGCCCGCAAAGUCUGGGGCCAUUCCGAGUCCGGCGGACGAACUUCGCCCACGCCCCCCACCAAGGCUAUAGCCCACCCGUUUUUUGGCCAUUUUUCCGCUGGGGGGUCAUGGCACCCCGACCUUCGGGGGCUGAUUGUUGGGCGCGGCUCUGCCCGUGGCUUAUUUUUGGCACACGGAGGCCGCCCGCAAAGUCUGUGGCCAUUCAGAGUUCGGCGGACGAACUUCGCCCACGCCCCCCACCAAGGCUAUAGCCCACCCGUUUUUUGGCCAUUUUUCCGCUGGGGGGUCUUGGCGCCCCGACCUUCGGGGGCUGAUUUUUGGGCGCGGCUGUGCCCGUUGCCUAUUUUUGGCACACGGAGGCCGCCCGCAAAGUCUGGGGCCAUUCCGAGUCCGGCGGACGAACUUCGCCCACGCCCCCCACCAAGGCUAUAGCCCGCCCACCCGUUUUUUGGCUAUUUUUCCGCUGGGGGGUCUUGGCGCCCCGACCUUCGGGGGCUGAUUUUUGGGCGCUGGUGUGCCCGUGGCCAAUUUUUGGCACAAGGAGGCCGCCCGCAAAGUCUGGGGCCAUUCCGAGUCCGGCGGACGAACUUCGCCCACGCCCCCCACCAAGGCUAUAGCCCACCCAUUUUUUGGCCAUUUUUCCGCUGGGGGGUCUUGGCGCCCCGACCUUCGGGGGCUGAUUUUUGGGCGCGGCUCUGCCCGUGGCCUAUUUUUGGCACAAGGAAGCCGCCCACAAAGUCUGGGGCCAUUCCGAGUCCGGCGGACGAACUUCGCCCACGCCCCCCACCAAGGCUAUAGCCCACCCGUUUUUUGGCCAUUUUUCCGCUGGGGGGUCUUGGCGCCCCGAUCUUCGGGGGCUGAUUUUUGGGCGCGGCUCUGCCCGUGGCCUAUUUUUGGCACACGGAAGCCGCCCGCAAAGUCUGGGGCCAUUCCGAGUCCGGCGGACGAACUUCGCCCACGCCCCCCACCAAGGCUAUAGCCCACCCGUUUUUUGGCCAUUUUUCCGCUGGGGGGUGUUGGCACCCCGACCUUCGGGGGCUGAUUUUUGGGCGCGGCUGUGCCCGUGGCCUAUUUUUGGCAAACGGAGGCCGCCCGCAACGUCUGGGGCCAUUCCGAGUCCGGCGGACGAACUUCGCCCACGCCCCCCACCAAGGCUAUAGCCCACCCGUUUUUUGGCCAUUUUUCCGCUGGGGGGUCUUGGCGCCCAGACCUUCGGGGGCUGAUUUUUGGGCGCGGCUGUGCCCGUGGCCUAGUUUUGGCACACGGAGGCCGCCCGCAAAGUCUGGGGCCAUUCCGAGUCCGGCGGACGAACUUCGCCCACGCCCCCCACCAAGGCUAUAGCCCACCCGUUUUUUGGCCAUUUUUCCGCUGGGGGGUCUUGGCACCCCGACCUUCGCGGGCUGAUUUUUGGGCGCGGCUCUGCCCGUGGCCUAUUUUUGGCACACGGAAGCCGCCCGCAAAGUCUGGGGCCAUUCCGAGUCCGGCGGACGAACUUCGCCCACGCCCCCCACCAAGGCUAUAGCCCACCCGUUUUUUGGCCAUUUUUCCGCUGGGGGGUCUUGGCACCCCGACCUUCGCGGGCUGAUUUUUGGGCGCGGCUCUGCCCGUGGCCUAUUUUUGGCACACGGAAGCCGCCCGCAAAGUCUGGGGCCAUUCCGAGUCCGGCGGACGAACUUCGCCCACGCCCCCCACCAAGGCUAUAGCCCACCCGUUUUUUGGCCAUUUUUCCGCUGGGGGGACUUGGCACCCCGACCUUCGGGGGCUGAUUUUUGGGCGCGGCUCUGCCCGUGGCCUAUUUUUGGCACACGGAGGCCGCCCGCAAAGUCUGGGGCCAUUCCGAGUUCGGCGGAUGAACUGCGCCCACGCCCCCCACCAAGGCUAUAGCCCACCCGUUUUUUGGCCAUUUUUCCGCUGGGGGGUCUUGGCGCCCCAACCUUCGGGGGCUGAUUUUUGGGCGCGGCUGUGCCCGUUGCCUAUUUUUGGCACACGGAGGCCGCCCGCAAAGUCUGGGGCCAUUCCGAGUCCGGCGGACGAACUUCGCCCACGCCCCCCACCAAGGCUAUAGCCCGCCCACCCGUUUUUUGGCUAUUUUUCCGCUGGGGGGUCUUGGCGCCCCGACCUUCGGGGGCUGAUUUUUGGGCGCUGGUGUGCCCGUGGCCUAUUUUUGGCACACGGAGGCCGCGCGCAAAGUCUGGGGCCAUUCCGAGUUCGGCGGAUGAACUGCGCCCACGCCCCCCACCAAGGCUAUAGCCCACCCGUUUUUUGGCCAUUUUUCAGCUGGGGGGUGUUGGCACCCCGACCUUCGGGGGCUGAUUUUUGGGCGCGGCUGCGUCCGUGGCCUAUUUUUGGCACACGGAGGCCGCCCGCAACAUCUGGGGCCAUUCCAAGUCCGGCGGACGAACUUCGCCCACCCCCCCCACCAAGGCUAUAGCCCACCCGUUUUUUGGCCAUUUUUCCGCUGGGGGGUCUUGGCGCCCCGACCUUCGGGGGCUGAUUUUUGGGCGCGGCUCUGCCCGUGGCCUAUUUUUGGCACACAGAAGCCGCCCGCAAAGUCUGGGGCCAUUCCGAGUCCGGCGGACGUACUUCGCCCACGCCCCCCACCAAGGCUAUAGCCCACCCGUUUUUUGGCCAUUUUUCCGCUGGGGGGUGUUGGCACCCCGACCUUCGGGGGCUGAUUUUUGGGCGCGGCUGUGCCCGUGGCCUAUUUUUGGCACAUGGACGACGCCCGCAACGUCUGGGGCCAUUCCGAGUCCGGCGGACGAACUUCGCCCACGCCCCCCACCAAGGCUAUAGCCCACCCGUUUUUUGGCCAUUUUUCCGCUGGGGGGUGUUGGCACCCCGACCUUCGGGGGCUGAUUUUUGGGCGCGGCUGUGCCCGUGGCCUAUUUUUGGCACACGGAGGCCGCCCGCAAAGUCUGGGGCCAUUCCGAGUCCGGCGGACGAACUUCGCCCACGCCCCCCACCAAGGCUAUAGCCCACCCGUUUUUUGGCCAUUUUUCCGCUGGGGGGUGUUGGCACCCCGACCUUCGGGGGCUGACUUUUGGGCGCGGCUGUGCCCGUGGCCUAUUUUUGGCACACGGAGGCCGCCCGCAAAGUCUGGGGCCAUUCCGAGUCCGGCGGACGAACUUCGCCCACGCCCCCCACCAAGGCUAUAGCCCACCCGUUUUUUGGCCAUUUUUCCGCGGGGGGGUGUUGGCACCCCGACUUUCGGGGGCUGAUUUUUGGGCGCGGCUGUGCCCGUGGCCUAUUUUUGGCACACGGAGGCCGCCCGCAAAGUCUGGGGCCAUUCCGAGUCCGGCGGACGAACUUCGCCCACGCCCCCCACCAAGGCUAUAGCCCACCCGUUUUUUGGCCAUUUUUCAGCUGGGGGGUGUUGGCACCCCGACCUUCGGGGGCUGAUUUUUGGGCGCGGCUGUGCCCGUGGCCUAUUUUUGGCACACGGAGGCCGCCCGCAACAUCUGGGGCCAUUCCGAGUCCGGCGGACGAACUUCGCCCACGCCCCCCACCAAGGCUAUAGCCCACCCGUUUUUUGGCCAUUUUUCCGCUGGGGGGUCUUGGCGCCCCGACCUUCGGGGGCUGAUUUUUGGGCGCGGCUGUGCCCGUGGCCUAUUUUUGGCACACGGAGGCCGCCCGCAAAUUCUGGGGCCAUUCCGAGUCCGGCGGACGAACUUCGCCCACGCCCCCCACCAAGGCUAUAGUCCGCCCACCCGUUUUUUGCCCAUUUUUCCGCUGCGGGGUCUUGGCGCCCCGAUCUUCGGGGGCUGAUUUUUGGGCGCGGGUGUGCCCGUGGCCUGUUUUUGGCACACGGAGGCCGCCCGCAAAGUCUGGGGCCAUUCCGAGUCCGGCGGACGAACUUCGCCCACGCCCCCCACCAAGGCUAUAGCCCGCCCACCCGUUUUUUUUGCCAUUUUUCCGCUAGGGGGUAUUGGCGCCCCGACCUUCGGGGGCUGAUUUUUGGGCGCGGGUGUGCCCGUGGCCUGUUUUUGGCACACGGAGGCCGCCCGCAAAGUCUGGGGCCAUUCCGAGUCCGGCGGACGAACUUCGCCCACGCCCCCCACCAAGGCUAUAGCCCACCCGUUUUUUGGCCAUUUUUCCGCUGGGGGGUCUAGGCGCCCCGACAUUCGGGGGCUGAUUUUUGGGCGCGGCUGUGCCCGUGGCCUAUUUUUGGCACACGGAGGCCGCCCGCAAAGUCUGGGGCCAUUCCGAGUCCGGCGGACGAACUUCGCCCACGCCCCCCACCAAGGCUAUAGCCCCACCGUUUUUUGGCCAUUUUUCCGCUGGGGGGUCUUGGCGCCCCAACCUUCGGGGGCUGAUUUUUGGGCGCGGCUGUGCCCGUGGCCUAUUUUUGGCACACGGAGGCCGCCCGCAAAGUCUGGGGCCAUUCCGAGUCCGGCGGACGAACUUCGCCCACGCCCCCCACCAAGGCUAUAGCCCACCCGUUUUUUGGCCAUUUUUCCGCUGGGGGGUCUUGGCGCCUCGACCUUCGGGGGCUGAUUUUUGGGCGCGGCUCUGCCCGUGGCCUAUAUUUGGCACACGGAAGCCGCCCGCAAAGUCUGGGGCCAUUCCGAGUCCGGCGGACGAACUUCGCCCACGCCCCCCACCAAGGCUAUAGCCCACCCGUUUUUUGGCCAUUUUUCCGCUGGGGGGUGUUGGCACCCCGACCUUCGGGGGCUGAUUUUUGGGCGCGGCUCUGCCCGUGGCCUAUUUUUGGCACACGGAAGCCGCCCGCAAAGUCUGGGGCCAUUCCGAGUUCGGCGGACGAACUUCGCCCACGCCCCCCACCAAGGCUAUAGCCCACCCGUUUUUUGGCCAUUUUUCCGCUGGGGGGUGUUGGCACCCCGACAUUCGGGGGCUGAUUUUUGGGCGCGGCUGUGCCCGUGGCCUAUUUUUGGCACACGGAGGCCGCCCGCAAAGUCUGGGGCCAUUCCGAGUCCGGCGGACGAACUUCGCCCACGCCCCCCACCAAGGCUAUAGCCCGCCCACCCGUUUUUUGGGCAUUUUUCCGCCGGGGGGUCUUGGCGCCCCGACCUUCGGGGGCUGAUUUUUGGGCGCGGGUGUGCCCGUGGCCUGUUUUUGGCACACGGAGGCCGCCCGCAAAGUCUGGGGCCAUUCCGAGUCCGGCGGACGAACUUCGCCCACGCCCCCCACCAAGGCUAUAGCCCACCCGUUUUUUGGCCAUUUUUCCACUGGGGGGUCUUGGCGCCCCGACCUUCGGGGGCUGAUUUUUGGGCGCGGCUGUGCCCGUGGCCUGUUUUUGGCACACGGAGGCCGCCCGCAACGUCUGGGGCCAUUCCGAGUCCGGCGGACGAACUUCGCCCACGCCCCCCACCAAGGCUAUAGCCCACCCGUUUUUUGGCCAUUUUUCCGCUGGGGGGUCAUGGCACCCCGACCUUCGGGGGCUGAUUUUUGGGCGCGGCUCUGCCCGUGUCCUAUUUUUGGCACACGGAAGCCGCCCGCAAAGUCUGGGGCCAUUCCGAGUCCGGCGGACGAACUUCGCCCACGCCCCCCACCAAGGCUAUAGCCCACCCGUUUUUUGGCCAUUUUUCAGCUGGGGGGUGUUGGCACCCCGACCUUCGGGGGCUGAUUUUUGGGCGCGGCUGCGCCCGUGGCCUAUUUUUGGCACACGGAGGCCGCCCGCAACAUCUGGGGCCAUUCCGAGUCCGGCGGACGAACUUCGCCCACGCCCCCCACCAAGGCUAUAGCCCGCCCACCCGUUUUUUGGCUAUUUUUCCGCUGGGGGGUCUUGGCGCCCCGACCUUCGGGGGCUGAUUUUUGGGCGCUGGUGUGCCCGUGGCCUAUUUUUGGCACACGGAGGCCGCCCGCAAAGUCUGGGGCCAUUCCGAGUCCGGCGGACGUACUUCGCCCACGCCCCCCACCAAGGCUAUAGCCCACCCGUUUUUUGGCCAUUUUUCCGCUGGGGGGUGUUGGCACCCCGACCUUCGGGGGCUGAUUUUUGGGCGCGGCUGUGCCCGUGGCCUAUUUUUGGCACAUGGACGACGCCCGCAACGUCUGGGGCCAUUCCGAGUUCGGCGGACGAACUUCGCCCACGCCCCCCACCAAGGCUAUAGCCCACCCGUUUUUUGGCCAUUUUUCCGCUGGGGGGUGUUGGCACCCCGACCUUCGGGGGCUGAUUUUUGGGCGCGGCUGUGCCCGUGGCCUAUUUUUGGCACACGGAGGCCGCCCGCAACAUCUGGGGCCAUUCCGAGUCCGGCGGACGAACUUCGCCCACGCCCCCCACCAAGGCUAUAGCCCACCCGUUUUUUGGCCAUUUUUCCGCUGGGGGGUCUUGGCGCCCCGACCUUCGGGGGCCGAUUUUUGGGCGCGGCUGUGCCCGUGGCCUAUUUUUGGCACACGGAGGCCGCCCGCAAAGUCUGGGGCCAUUCCGAGUCCGGCGGACGAACUUCGCCCACGCCCCCCACCAAGGCUAUAGCCCACCCGUUUUUUGGCCAUUUUUCCGCUGGGGGGUGUUGGCACCCCGACCUUCGGGGGCUGAUUUUUGGGGGCGGCUGUGCCCGUGGCCUAUUUUUGGCACACGGAGGCCGCCCGCAACGUCUGGGGCCAUUCCGAGUCCGGCGGACGAACUUCGCCCACGCCCCCCACCAAGGCUAUAGCCCACCCGUUUUUUGGCCAUUUUUCAGCUGGGGGGUGUUGGCACCCCGACCUUCGGGGGCUGAUUUUUGGGCGCGGCUGUGCCCGUGGCCUAUUUUUGGCACACGGAGGCCGCCCGCAACAUCUGGGGCCAUUCCGAGUCCGGCGGACGAACUUCGCCCACGCCCCCCACCAAGGCUAUAGCCCACCCGUUUUUUGGCCAUUUUUCCGCUGGGGGGUCUUGGCGCCCCGACCUUCGGGGGCUGAUUUUUGGGCGCGGCUGUGCCCGUGGCCUAUUUUUGGCACACGGAGGCCGCCCGCAAAUUCUGGGGCCAUUCCGAGUCCGGCGGACGAACUUCGCCCACGCCCCCCACCAAGGCUAUAGUCCGCCCACCCGUUUUUUGCCCAUUUUUCCGCUGCGGGGUCUUGGCGCCCCGAUCUUCGGGGGCUGGUUUUUGGGCGCGGGUGUGCCCGUGGCCUGUUUUUGGCACACGGAGGCCGCCCGCAAAGUCUGGGGCCAUUCCGAGUCCGGCGGACGAACUUCGCCCACGCCCCCCACCAAGGCUAUAGCCCGCCCACCCGUUUUUUUUGCCAUUUUUCCGCUAGGGGGUCUUGGCGCCCCGACCUUCGGGGGCUGAUUUUUGGGCGCGGGUGUGCCCGUGGCCUGUUUUUGGCACACGGAGGCCGCCCGCAAAGUCUGGGGCCAUUCCGAGUCCGGCGGACGAACUUCGCCCACGCCCCCCACCAAGGCUAUAGCCCACCCGUUUUUUGGCCAUUUUUCCGCUGGGGGGUCUAGGCGCCCCGACAUUCGGGGGCUGAUUUUUGGGCGCCGCUGUGCCCGUGGCCUAUUUUUGGCACACGGAGGCCGCCCGCAAAGUCUGGGGCCAUUCCGAGUCCGGCGGACGAACUUCGCCCACGCCCCCCACCAAGGCUAUAGCCCACCCGUUUUUUGGCCAUUUUUCCGCUGGGGGGUCUUGGCGCCUCGACCUUCGGGGGCUGAUUUUUGGGCGCGGCUCUGCCCGUGGCCUAUAUUUGGCACACGGAAGCCGCCCGCAAAGUCUGGGGCCAUUCCGAGUCCGGCGGACGAACGUCGCCCACGCCCCCCACCAAGGCUAUAGCCCACCCGUUUUUUGGCCAUUUUUCCGCUGGGGGGUGUUGGCACCCCGACCUUCGGGGGCUGAUUUUUGGGCGCGGCUCUGCCCGUGGCCUAUUUUUGGCACACGGAAGCCGCCCGCAAAGUCUGGGGCCAUUCCGAGUCCGGUGGACGAACUUCGCCCACGCCCCCCACCAAGGCUAUAGCCCACCCGUUUUUUGGCCAUUUUUGCGCUGGGGGGUGUUGGCACCCCGACCUUCGGGGGCUGAUUUUUGGGCGCGGCUGUGCCCGUGGCCUAUUUUUGGCACACGGAGGCCGCCCGCAACGUCUGGGGCCAUUCCGAGUCCGGCGGACGAACUUCGCCCACGCCCCCCACCAAGGCUAUAGCCCACCCGUUUUUUGGCCAUUUUUCCGCUGGGGGGUGUUGGCGCCCCGACCUUCGGGGGCUGAUUUUUGGGCGCGGCUGUGCCCGUGGCCUAUUUUUGGCACACAGAGGCCGCCCGCAAAGUCUGGGGCCAUUCCGAGUCCGGCGGACGAACUUCGCACACGGCUCCCACCAAGGCUAUAGCCCACCCGUUUUUUGGCCUUUUUUCCGCUGGGGGGUGUUGGCACCCCGACCUUCGGGGGCUGAUUUUUGGGCGCGGCUGUGCCCGUGGCCUAUUUUUGGCACACGGAGGCCGCCCGCAAAGUCUGGGGCCAUUCCGAGUUCGGCGGACGAACUUCGCCCGCGCCCCCCACCAAGGCUAUAGCCCACCCGUUUUUUGGCCAUUUUUCCGCUGGGGGGUCUUGGCGCCCCGACCUUCGGGGGCUGAUUUUUGGGCGCGGCUGUGCCCGUGGCCUAUUUUUGGCACACGGAGGCCGCCCGCAAAGUCUGGGGCCAUUCCGAGUCCGGCGGACGAACUUCGCCCACGCCCCCCACCAAGGCUAUAGCCCGCCCACCCGUUUUUUGGCCAUUUUUCCGCUGGGGGGUCUUGGCGCCCCGACCAUCGGGGGCUGAUUUUUGGGCGCGGGUGUGCCCGUUGCCUGUUUUUGGCACACGGAGGCCGCCCGCAAAGUCUGGGGCCAUUCCGAGUCCGGCGGACGAACUUCGCCCACGCCCCCCACCAAGGCUAUAGCCCACCCGUUUUUUGGCCAUUUUUCCGCUGGGGGGUCUUGGCGCCCCGACCUUCGGGGGCUGAUUUUUGGGCGCGGCUGUGCCCGUGGCCUAUUUUUGGCACACGGAGGCCGCCCGCAAAAUCUGGGGCCAUUCCGAGUCCGGCGGACGAACUUCGCCCACGCCCCCCACCAAGGCUAUAGCCCACCCGUUUUUUGGCCAUUUUUCCGCUGGGGGGUCUUGGCACCCCGACCUUCGGGGGCUGAUUUUUGGGCGCGGCUCUGCCCGUGGCCUAUUUUUGGCACACGGAAGCCGCCCGCAAAGUCUGGGGCCAUUCCGAGUCCGGCGGACGAACUUCGCCCACGCCCCCCACCAAGGCUAUAGCCCACCCGUUUUUUGGCCAUUUUUCCGCUGGGGGGUCUUGGCACCCCGACCUUCGGGGGCUGAUUUUUGGGCGCGGCUCUGCCCGUGGCCUAUUUUUGGCACACGGAGGCCGCCCGCAAGUCUGGGGCCAUUCCGAGUCCGGCGGACGAACUUCGCCCACGCCCCCCACCAAGGCUAUAGCCCACCCGUUUUUUGGCCAUUUUUCCGCUGGGGGGUCUUGGCACCCCGACCUUCGGGGGCUGAAUUUUGGGCGCGGCUCUGCCCGUGGCCUAUUUUUGGCACACGGAAGCCGCCCGCAAAGUCUGGGGCCAUUCCGAGUCCGGCGGACGAACUUCGCCCACGCCCCCCACCAAGGCUAUAGCCCGCCCACCCGUUUUUUGGCCAUUUUUCCGCUGGGGGGUCUUGGCGCCCCGACCUUCGGGGGCUGAUUUUUGGGCGCGGGUGUGCCCGUGGCCUAUUUUUGGCACACGGAGGCCGCCCGCAAAGUCUGGGGCCAUUCCGAGUCCGGCGGACGAACUUCGCCCACGCCCCCCACCAAGGCUAUAGCCCACCCGUUUUUUGGCCAUUUUUCCGCUGGGGGGUCUUGGCACCCCGACCUUCGGGGGCUGAUUUUUGGGUGCGGCUCUGCCCGUGGCCUAUUUUUGGCACACGGAAGCCGCCCGCAAAGUCUGGGGCCAUUCCGAGUCCGGCGGACGAACUUCGCCCACGACCCCCACCAAGGCUAUAGCCCACCCGUUUUUUGGCCAUUUUUCCGCUGGGGGGUCUUGGCGCCCCGACCCUCGGGGGCUGAUUUUUGGGCGCGGCUCUGCCCGUGGCCUAUUUUUGGCACACGAAAGCCGCCCGCAAAGUCUGGGGCCAUUCCGAGUCCGGCGGACGAACUUCGCCCACGCCCCCCAUCAAGGCUAUAGCCCACCCGUUUUUUGGCCAUUUUUCCGCUGGGGGGUCUUGGCGCCCCGACCUUCGGGGGCUGAUUUUUGGGCGCGGCUCUGACCGUGGCCUAUUUUUGGCACACGGAGGCCGCCCGCAACGUCUGGGGCCAUUCCGAGUCCGGCGGACGAACUUCGCCCACGCCCCCCACCAAGGCUAUAGCCCGCCCACCCGUUUUUUGGCCAUUUUUCCGCUGGGGGGUCUUGGCGCCCCGACCUUCGGGGGCUGAUUUUUGGGCGCGGGUGUGCCCGUGGCCUGUUUUUGGCACACGGAGGCCGCCCGCAAAGUCUGGGGCCACUCCGAGUCCGGCGGACGAACUUCGCCCACGCCCCCCACCAAGGCUAUAGCCCACCCGUUUUUUGGCCAUUUUUUUGCUUGGGGGUGUUGGCACUUCGACCUUCGGGGGCUGAUUUUUGGGCGCGGGUGUGCCCGUGGCCUAUUUUUGGCACACGGAGGCCGCCCGCAAAGUCUGGGGCCAUUCCGAGUCCGGCGGACGAACUUCGCCCACGCCCCCCACCAAGGCUAUAGCCCGCCCACCCGUUUUUUGGCCAUUUUUCCGCUGGGGGGUCUUGGCGCCCCGACCUUCGGGGGCUGAUUUUUGGGCGCGGGUGUGCCCGUGGCCUGUUUUUGGCACACGGAGGCCGCCCGCAAAGUCUGGGGCCAUUCCGAGUCCGGCGGACGAACUUCGCCCACGCCCCCCACCAAGGCUAUAGCCCGCCCACCCGUUUUUUGGCCAUUUUUCCGCUGGGGGGUCUUGGCGCCCCGACCUUCGGGGGCUGAUUUUUUGGCGCGGGUGCGCCCGUGGCCUGUUUUUGGCACACGGAGGCCGCCCGCAAAGUCUGGGGCCAUUCCGAGUCCGGCGGACGAACUUCGCCCACGCCCCCCACCAAGGCUAUAGCCCGCCCGUUUUUUGGCCAUUUUUCCGCCGGGGGGUCUUAUCGCCCCGACCUUCGGGGGCUGAAUUUUGGGCGCGGGUGUGCCCAUGGCCUAUUUUUGGCACACGGAGGCCGCCCGCAAAGUCUGGGGCCAUUCCGAGUCCGGCGGACGAACUUCGCCCACGCCCCCCACCAAGGCUAUAGCCCACCCGUUUUUUGGCCAUUUUUCCGCUGGGGGGUCUUGGCGCCCCGACCUUCGGGUGCUGAUUUUUGGGCGCGGCUGUGCCCGUGGCCUAUUUUUGGCACACGGAGGCCGCCCGCAAAGUCUGGGGCCAUUCCGAGUCCGGCGGACGAACUUCGCCCACGCCCCCCACCAAGGCUAUAGCCCACCCGUUUUUUGGCCAUUUUUCCGCUGGGGGGUCUUGGCGCCCCGACCUUCGGGGGCUGAUUUUUGGGAGCGGCUGUGUCCGUGGCCUAUUUUUGGCACACAGAGGCCGCCC